CACGUAGGCGGGUCUUUAAGUCGGGGUGAAAUCCUGGAGCUCAACUCCAGAACUGCCUUCGAUACUGAGGAUCUCGAGUCCGGGAAAGGUGAGUGGAACUCCGAGUGUAGAGGUGAAAUUCGUAGAUAUUCGGAAGAACACCAGUGGCGAAGGCGGCUCACUGGCCCGGUACUGACGCUGAGGUGCGAAAGCGUGGGGAAGCAAACA
This 207-nucleotide ribosomal RNA is filed under the name uncultured bacterium. RNAcentral's name for it is "partial 16S ribosomal RNA". It matches the Rfam family "Bacterial small subunit ribosomal RNA", at positions 568 to 774 of the family's 1533-position model. The record is from RNAcentral.